RNAcentral lists this transfer RNA (83 nucleotides) under Candidatus Staskawiczbacteria bacterium RIFCSPLOWO2_01_FULL_38_12b. RNAcentral describes it as "tRNA-Ser". It matches the Rfam family "tRNA". From Rfam's summary of the family: Transfer RNA (tRNA) molecules are approximately 80 nucleotides in length. Their secondary structure includes four short double-helical elements and three loops (D, anti-codon, and T loops). The record is from RNAcentral. Lineage: Bacteria; Candidatus Staskawicziibacteriota.
GGAGGAGUCGCAUAACGGUAUUGCAAAGGAUUGCUAAUCCUUGCCCUUUCGGGGGCCUGUGGGUUCGAUUCCCACCUCCUCCG